AAAUUUGAAACAAUACAGAAAAGACUAGCACAGCCUCUGAAUAAGCACAUGCAAACUUGUGAAGCAUUCCACGUUUUU
This 78-nucleotide small nuclear RNA is filed under the name Chinchilla lanigera (long-tailed chinchilla). Lineage: Eukaryota; Metazoa; Chordata; Mammalia; Rodentia; Chinchillidae. The record is from RNAcentral.